CAUGCGGUCCCUUUCGUGAAUGUACAGUUUUAAAUUGAACUGUGAAGCAGAGCCAGCCAUACUCAGACCUCACAACAUAAAAAAUAUUGACAAUGUAAAGCUAAUAUAAGUUAAUCAAGAGUUAGCUAGCUAAAGUUGGUUUCACAGUUUUGAUAAUAAUAAUUAUCAGCUAACGUGAUUAUGGAAGCUAGUCCGUUCGUUUGCUAGUAGCGAUAAAAAAUACUUUUAGCAAAGUAUCACUUCGAGAAGUGCAGGUAGUAGAAAUAUAACAUGGAUACAACUUUACUUCACCCCGAUGAAAAGAAAGCAAGUUAGAAGGGUCUUCAGUGACAAAAGGGGUCGUUUGGAUUAUUUCAUGGCCAGGAGCAGUUUCCAGGUUACCAACGGAGACUCCAGGAAUACUUCUUCUGAUACAAACCAGCUGAGGGCGGUGCAACUGCCAUACCAGGCGAUGAUGCAGCCAGUCGAGAUGCUCGCUGUGGUGCACCUGUAGAUGUUUCAGAGUAUCGCUGAGUCCAUGUUAACUCUGCAGCCUGCGGAGGAAGAAGAGCCGCUGUCAAGCUGUUUUGUUGAUGGCGUUUGUGUAAUAAGUCCAUGUCAGGUCCUCAGUGAUGUGGGCACAGAAGAACCUGAAGCUGCUGACUCUCUCCACAGUAGUCCUAUUGAUGGCGAUAGGGAAUGGAAAGUUUGACAUGAGUAUUUAUGUAUGAUUUGUUAAACUGUUGCAAUGUCCCAGCUAAACAUUUUAACAGUUUUAGCUCAAAAGCAAGAAUAAGCAUUACCGUCUCCGCAUCAUUAGGCAGUCACUUUGCAGUGAAGUUUGCAAUGAGUGCUGGGAUGGAUGUGUUCAGAACUCUGCCUAUUGUCACACAGCUGGACCUUUAGCUACAGUAGAGACAAGCCAGCGGAGGAGAGGCAUGGCAUGCAGCAGAGUUUUUAAUCUAUCUGUCUGUCUCCUCUCUGUUAUUAACCUCACGCCCUGACAGCCUGCUCCCUGUGACACUGACCUGCUUCACCUAAUGAGCUACCAAUUACUACAAAUUAGGCGAGAGAGAGGCCGCUGCUAUCAUCCACUCCGCACACUGUUCUUAACAGUUCUUUGGG
Molecule: long non-coding RNA, 1104 nt
Organism: Eleginops maclovinus (Patagonian blennie)
Lineage: Eukaryota; Metazoa; Chordata; Actinopteri; Perciformes; Eleginopidae
Exons: 3
Source: RefSeq, a predicted model, not a curated record